This 1375-nucleotide ribosomal RNA is filed under the name uncultured bacterium. RNAcentral describes it as "bacterial SSU rRNA". It matches the Rfam family "Bacterial small subunit ribosomal RNA", at positions 28 to 1381 of the family's 1533-position model. The record is from RNAcentral.
GAUAAACGCUGGCGGCGUGCCUAAUACAUGCAAGUCGAGCGAACGGACGAGAAGCUUGCUUCUCUGAUGUUAGCGGCGGACGGGUGAGUAACACGUGGAUAACCUACCUAUAAGACUGGGAUAACUUCGGGAAACCGGAGCUAAUACCGGAUAAUAUUUUGAACCGCAUGGUUCAAAAGUGAAAGACGGUCUUGCUGUCACUUAUAGAUGGAUCCGCGCUGCAUUAGCUAGUUGGUAAGGUAACGGCUUACCAAGGCAACGAUGCAUAGCCGACCUGAGAGGGUGAUCGGCCACACUGGAACUGAGACACGGUCCAGACUCCUACGGGAGGCAGCAGUAGGGAAUCUUCCGCAAUGGGCGAAAGCCUGACGGAGCAACGCCGCGUGAGUGAUGAAGGUCUUCGGAUCGUAAAACUCUGUUAUUAGGGAAGAACAUAUGUGUAAGUAACUGUGCACAUCUUGACGGUACCCUAAUCAGAAAGCCACCGGCUAACUACGUGCCAGCCAGCGCGGGUAUACGUAAGUGGCCAGCGUUAUCCCGAAAUUAUUGGGCGUAAAGCGCGGCGUAGCCGGUUUUUUAGUCUGAUGUGAAAGCCCACGGCUCAACCGUGGAGGGUCAUUGGAAACUGGAAAACUUGAGUGCAGAAGAGGAAAGUGGAAUUCCAUGUGUAGCGGUGAAAUGCGCAGAGAUAUGGAGGAACACCAGUGGCGAAGGCGACUUUCUGGUCUGUAACUGACGCUGAUGUGCGAAAGCGUGGGGAUCAAACAGGAUUAGAUACCCUGGUAGUCCACGCCGUAAACGAUGAGUGCUAAGUGUUAGGGGGUUUCCGCCCCUUAGUGCUGCAGCUAACGCAUUAAGCACUCCGCCUGGGGAGUACGACCGCAAGGUUGAAACUCAAAGGAAUUGACGGGGACCCGCACAAGCGGUGGAGCAUGUGGUUUAAUUCGAAGCAACGCGAAGAACCUUACCAAAUCUUGACAUCCUUUGACAACUCUAGAGAUAGAGCCUUCCCCUUCGGGGGACAAAGUGACAGGUGGUGCAUGGUUGUCGUCAGCUCGUGUCGUGAGAUGUUGGGUUAAGUCCCGCAACGAGCGCAACCCUUAAGCUUAGUUGCCGUCAUUAAGUUGGGCACUCUAAGUUGACUGCCGGUGACAAACCGGAGGAAGGUGGGGAUGACGUCAAAUCAUCAUGCCCCUUAUGAUUUGGGCUACACACGUGCUACAAUGGACAAUACAAAGGGCAGCGAAACCGCGAGGUCAAGCAAAUCCCAUAAAGUUGUUCUCAGUUCGGAUUGUAGUCUGCAACUCGACUACAUGAAGCUGGAAUCGCUAGUAAUCGUAGAUCAGCAUGCUACGGUGAAUACGUUCCCGGGUCU